AGCAGAGAGGACAUGCCUUCUGCUCAAAGGGAUCACUGGACGGGGGUGUUUCCGUCAGUGCCGGCCCCAGACACAGUGACAUGGGGGCUGUACUGAAGGGUUCUUGGGACCCCCAUCCCCCGACAGGUUUACCACCCGGCCCUGCGAUUUAUGAACAAGUUUCAGUGAGAAGCCAACGCCUGGCCUCAGCUGUGCUGCCCUCCGAGGUGGGGCCUCUGCAGGAGAGCACGCUGGUGGAGUGUGCUCAGGGGCCUUGAAACACGGGCUCCGAAAGGCCUGCUGGACCCAGAAGUGACACCACAGGCCCGGUAACUGGCUUUCUUUUAGCGUCCCAGGUUCGUAAGCAAGCUGCCAUUUGCAGCUGGGUGUUCAUGACUGUUCUUGCCGGCCAACGUCACGACCCGUUCCGCGAUCCCGCGCAGGGAAGGUUCGAUCCAGCCAGUGGUGUCUUCAGGGAGGCUAAACCUGACCGACCGGAGCAGACGCCGGCCAUUUCCCGUGAGGCGUUCAGCUCUGGAAAUGGCCUGAGAGGUAACAUAGCCUGAAUCCGUGACGUUACCAAUGUGGAAACUGGGGCCUGGGGAGAGCAGGGACCCUGCUAAAAGGAGCCAUUGAGAAGCGAGGCUAAUUGGCGUCUCCCACCCACCUGUGGGAGCUUCCAGGCGCUGGGCGCGCGGGAGGUGACGGUGCUUCUUUUCCUGGUCUGAGUGUGAGGCUGGCUUGGCCCGGCCCGUGGAAUUCGGGAAGCAGCCCUGCAGGGGUGGCCCGUUGUUUCUCAACACUUUCUGGGAACCUCUGGAUCGGCACAUUCCUGCCCCCGCUGCCAAUCGUGUGGGAGCCCAGAGGAGACGUCAGAGGCCUCGAGUUCGUGGCCUUUCGACCCGCCUGCAGGUGCUUUGGAAGACCUUCCCAGCCGUUUCCCCUGAGUCCAGGGCUGCGUGGACCACUGCAGUGGCCCGGACCAGGUUACCUGCCCAGGCCCUGGAACCCAGAGGAAGCCUGCAGAGUGUCCAGGGAAACCGGCCCAGGCAGCAGACAGGCCAGUGUCCGUGUGCAGCUUGGCCUCGGCCCAGAGGGAAGCUCCGGGGCCCAGGUGACCUGCUGAAGUCGAGGCGGCCAAUUGGAGGACAAGUCCGAGAAACGAGACUUUUCAGCUUAGAACUUUCUGAAAUGUUCAUCUUCUCAUAUCCAGCCUUAGUUUUUCAAAAUCGUGAGUCCUCAACAUUCGUAACCUCCCAGGAUGCGCUCUGACACCAUGGGAGAGAGCAGAGCCCCCCCAGUCAGGAGGCCGGUCCCCAGUGUCUGCCGUCGGCUCCGCGGUGGGGGCGGGCGUGGGGCUUCGGACCCUGGGACCCGUGGUG
This is a long non-coding RNA of Camelus dromedarius (Arabian camel), 1361 nucleotides long. RefSeq lists it as uncharacterized. The transcript is spliced from 5 exons. The record is from RefSeq and is a predicted model, not a curated record. Lineage: Eukaryota; Metazoa; Chordata; Mammalia; Artiodactyla; Camelidae.